GGGUUGUGAGGUUAAGCGACUAAGCGUACACGGUGGAUGCCCUGGCAGUCAGAGGCGAUGAAGGACGUGCUAAUCUGCGAAAAGCGUCGGUAAGGUGAUAUGAACCGUUACAGCCGGCGAUGUCCGAAUGGGGAAACCCAGUGCAAUUCGUUGCACUAUCGUUAACUGAAUACAUAGGUUAACGAGGCGAACCGGGGGAACUGAAACAUCUAAGUACCCCGAGGAAAAGAAAUCAACCGAGAUUCCCCCAGUAGCGGCGAGCGAACGGGGAGCAGCCCAGAGUCUGAAUCAGCUUGUGUGUUAGUGGAACGGUCUGGAAAGUCCGACGGUACAGGGUGAUAGUCCCGUACACCAAAAUGCACAGGUUGUGAACUCGAAGAGUAGGGCGGGACACGUGGUAUCCUGUCUGAAUAUGGGGGGACCAUCCUCCAAGGCUAAAUACUCCUGACUGACCGAUAGUGAACCAGUACCGUGAGGGAAAGGCGAAAAGAACCCCGGCGAGGGGAGUGAAAAAGAACCUGAAACCGUGUACGUACAAGCAGUGGGAGCACCUUCGGGUGUGACUGCGUACCUUUUGUAUAAUGGGUCAGCGACUUAUAUUCUGUAGCAAGGUUAACCGUAUAGGGGAGCCGCAGGGAAACCGAGUCUUAACUGGGCGUUAAGUUGCAGGGUAUAGACCCGAAACCCGGUGAUCUAGCCAUGGGCAGGUUGAAGGUUGGGUAACACUAACUGGAGGACCGAACCGACUAAUGUUGAAAAAUUAGCGGAUGACUUGUGGCUGGGGGUGAAAGGCCAAUCAAACCGGGAGAUAGCUGGUUCUCCCGAAAGCUAUUUAGGUAGCGCCUCGUGAACUCAUCUUCGGGGGUAGAGCACUGUUUCGGCUAGGGGGUCAUCCCGACUUACCAACCCGAUGCAAACUACGAAUACCGAAGAAUGUUAUCACGGGAGACACACGGCGGGUGCUAACGUCCGUCGUGAAGAGGGAAACAACCCAGACCGCCAGCUAAGGUCCCAAAGUCAUGGUUAAGUGGGAAACGAUGUGGGAAGGCACAGACAGCCAGGAUGUUGGCUUAGAAGCAGCCAUCAUUUAAAGAAAGCGUAAUAGCUCACUGGUCGAGUCGGCCUGCGCGGAAGAUGUAACGGGGCUAAACCAUGCACCGAAGCUGCGGCAGCGACACUAUGUGUUGUUGGGUAGGGGAGCGUUCUGUAAGCCUGCGAAGGUGUGCUGUGAGGCAUGCUGGAGGUAUCAGAAGUGCGAAUGCUGACAUAAGUAACGAUAAAGCGGGUGAAAAGCCCGCUCGCCGGAAGACCAAGGGUUCCUGUCCAACGUUAAUCGGGGCAGGGUGAGUCGACCCCUAAGGCGAGGCCGAAAGGCGUAGUCGAUGGGAAACAGGUUAAUAUUCCUGUACUUGGUGUUACUGCGAAGGGGGGACGGAGAAGGCUAUGUUAGCCGGGCGACGGUUGUCCCGGUUUAAGCAUGUAGGCUGGUUAUCCAGGCAAAUCCGGAUAAUCAAGGCUGAGGUGUGAUGACGAGGCACUACGGUGCUGAAGUAACAAAUGCCCUGCUUCCAGGAAAAGCCUCUAAGCAUCAGGUAACAUCAAAUCGUACCCCAAACCGACACAGGUGGUCAGGUAGAGAAUACCAAGGCGCUUGAGAGAACUCGGGUGAAGGAACUAGGCAAAAUGGUGCCGUAACUUCGGGAGAAGGCACGCUGGUGUGUAGGUGAAGUCCCUGCGGAUGGAGCUGAGACCAGUCGAAGAUACCAGCUGGCUGCAACUGUUUAUUAAAAACACAGCACUGUGCAAACACGAAAGUGGACGUAUACGGUGUGACGCCUGCCCGGUGCCGGAAGGUUAAUUGAUGGGGUUAUCCGUAAGGAGAAGCUCUUGAUCGAAGCCCCGGUAAACGGCGGCCGUAACUAUAACGGUCCUAAGGUAGCGAAAUUCCUUGUCGGGUAAGUUCCGACCUGCACGAAUGGCGUAAUGAUGGCCAGGCUGUCUCCACCCGAGACUCAGUGAAAUUGAACUCGCUGUGAAGAUGCAGUGUACCCGCGGCAAGACGGAAAGACCCCGUGAACCUUUACUAUAGCUUGACACUGAACAUUGAGCCUUGAUGUGUAGGAUAGGUGGGAGGCUUUGAAGCGUGGACGCCAGUCUGCGUGGAGCCAACCUUGAAAUACCACCCUUUAAUGUUUGAUGUUCUAACGUUGGCCCCUGACCGGGGUUGCGGACAGUGUCUGGUGGGUAGUUUGACUGGGGCGGUCUCCUCCCAAAGCGUAACGGAGGAGCACGAAGGUUAGCUAAUCCUGGUCGGACAUCAGGAGGUUAGUGCAAUGGCAUAAGCUAGCUUGACUGCGAGCGUGACGGCGCGAGCAGGUGCGAAAGCAGGUCAUAGUGAUCCGGUGGUUCUGAAUGGAAGGGCCAUCGCUCAACGGAUAAAAGGUACUCCGGGGAUAACAGGCUGAUACCGCCCAAGAGUUCAUAUCGACGGCGGUGUUUGGCACCUCGAUGUCGGCUCAUCACAUCCUGGGGCUGAAGUAGGUCCCAAGGGUAUGGCUGUUCGCCAUUUAAAGUGGUACGCGAGCUGGGUUUAGAACGUCGUGAGACAGUUCGGUCCCUAUCUGCCGUGGGCGCUGGAGAAUUGAGGGGGGCUGCUCCUAGUACGAGAGGACCGGAGUGGACGCAUCACUGGUGUUCGGGUUGUCAUGCCAAUGGCACUGCCCGGUAGCUAAAUGCGGAAGAGAUAAGUGCUGAAAGCAUCUAAGCACGAAACUUGCCCCGAGAUGAGUUCUCCCUGAGACUAUAAGUCUCCUGAAGGAACGUUAAAGACGAUGACGUUGAUAGGCCGGGUGUGUAAGCGCAGCGAUGCGUUGAGCUAACCGGUACUAAUGAACCGUGAGGCUUAACCUUACAACGCCGAAG
This 2922-nucleotide ribosomal RNA is filed under the name Klebsiella pneumoniae. Its description in RNAcentral is "bacterial LSU rRNA". It matches the Rfam family "Bacterial large subunit ribosomal RNA". The record is from RNAcentral. Lineage: Bacteria; Pseudomonadati; Pseudomonadota; Gammaproteobacteria; Enterobacterales; Enterobacteriaceae.